AGGCAGCAGUGGGGAAUAUUGGACAAUGGGCGAAAGCCUGAUCCAGCCAUGCCGCGUGUGUGAAGAAGGUCUUCGGAUUGUAAAGCACUUUAAGUUGGGAGGAA
This 104-nucleotide ribosomal RNA is filed under the name uncultured bacterium. RNAcentral describes it as "partial 16S ribosomal RNA". It matches the Rfam family "Bacterial small subunit ribosomal RNA", at positions 346 to 449 of the family's 1533-position model. The record is from RNAcentral.